RNAcentral lists this ribosomal RNA (406 nucleotides) under uncultured bacterium. Its description in RNAcentral is "partial 16S ribosomal RNA". It matches the Rfam family "Bacterial small subunit ribosomal RNA", at positions 30 to 526 of the family's 1533-position model. The record is from RNAcentral.
AUUGAACGCUGGCGGCAGGCUUAACACAUGCAAGUCGAGCGAGUGGCGGACGGGUGAGUAAUGUCUGGGAAACUGCCUGAUGGAGGGGGAUAACUACUGGAAACGGUAGCUAAUACCGCAUACCAUCAGCUUUGCCCAGAUGGGAUUAGCUAGUUGGUGGUGUAAUGGCUCACCUAGGCGACGAUCCCUAGCUGGUCUGAGAGGAUGACCAGACACACGGGAACUGAGACACGGUCAAGACUCCGACGGGAGGCAGCAGUGGGGAAUAUUGCACAAUGGGCGCAAGCCUGAUGCAGCCAGGCCGCGUGUAUGAAGAAGGCCUUCGGGUUUUAAAGUACUUUCAGCGGGGAGGCGUUACUCGCAGAAGAAGCACCGGCUAACUCCGUGCCAGCAGCCGCGGUAAUAC